Molecule: ribosomal RNA, 250 nt
Filed under: uncultured bacterium
Lineage: Bacteria
Description: partial 16S ribosomal RNA
Rfam family: Bacterial small subunit ribosomal RNA
Source: RNAcentral
UACGGAGGGUGCAAGCGUUAUUCGGAAUCAUUGGGUGUAAAGCGCGUGUAGGCGGCUGGGUAAGUUAGAUGUGAAAGUUCUGGGCUUAACCGAGAAAGUGCAUUUAAAACUGCCUGGCUUGAGUCUCGUAGAGGAAGGUGGAAUUCCCAGUGUAGAGGUGAAAUUCGUAGAUAUUGGGAGGAACACCGGUGGCGAAGGCGACCUUCUGGGCGCAGACUGACGCUGAGACGCGAAAGCGUGGGGAGCAAAC